This 379-nucleotide ribosomal RNA is filed under the name Campylobacter jejuni. Its description in RNAcentral is "partial 23S ribosomal RNA". It matches the Rfam family "Bacterial large subunit ribosomal RNA", at positions 840 to 1217 of the family's 2925-position model. Lineage: Bacteria; Pseudomonadati; Campylobacterota; Epsilonproteobacteria; Campylobacterales; Campylobacteraceae. The record is from RNAcentral.
GGGAGAUAGCUGGUUCUCCCCGAAAGCUAUUUAGGUAGCGCCUCGUGAACUCAUCUUCGGGGGUAGAGCACUGUUUCGGCUAGGGGGCCAUCCCGGCUUACCAACCCGAUGCAAACUACGAAUACCGAAGAAUGUUAUCACGGGAGACACACGGCGGGUGCUAACGUCCGUCGUGAAGAGGGAAACAACCCAGACCGCCAGCUAAGGUCCCAAAGUCAUGGUUAAGUGGGAAACGAUGUGGGAAGGCCCAGACAGCCAGGAUGUUGGCUUAGAAGCAGCCAUCCUUUAAAGAAAGCGUAAUAGCUCACUGGUCGAGUCGGCCUGCGCGGAAGAUGUAACGGGGCUAAACCAUGCACCGAAGCUGCGGCAGCGACACUUA